CCCUUAGAUGUUCUGGGCAGCACGCGCGCUACAAUGGUCUUCGCAAACGGAUGCAUUCUCGAAGGAGAAUGCCAAUCUUGGAAUCUAUGCCUUGGUCGGGACAGUUGCUUGCAAUUUUUCGACUCGAACCAGGAAUUCCUUGUAAUCGUGAUUCAUCACAUCACGAUGAAUACGUCCCUGCCCUUUGUACACACCGCCCGUCGCUCCUACCGAUCGAAGAGUUAGGUGAAUUGUUUUGAUCGAUAAGAUUUGACUAUGGUCAACUCUCGUUGUGAAAUUCUAUGAAUCUGACUGUUUAGAGGAAGGAAAAGUCGUAACA
Molecule: ribosomal RNA, 319 nt
Filed under: uncultured eukaryote
Lineage: Eukaryota
Description: partial 18S ribosomal RNA
Rfam family: Eukaryotic small subunit ribosomal RNA
Source: RNAcentral